UAGGGCUAAUUGUCGAUGAUGGCUGGGAUGCGGCAAAUGCUCCUCUAGUACCUGGAGUAGUUGGACUUGAUGUUCUAGCACUUACUGGUUUAGAGUAACUGAAGCUUAUCAUAGAUGAGGACAAGAAAAGAAUUGGCUUUGGUGGAUAUUGUUAGAGAAGUGCAUAUUUGUCUUUAAGAUAUUGUUUCUUUAGAUCUGCUGUGACAAUUUUGUACGUGAUUAUAUGUUGUUACUGUAGUUAGUAAUGAAAAUUUUU
Molecule: long non-coding RNA, 256 nt
Filed under: Daucus carota (carrot)
Lineage: Eukaryota; Viridiplantae; Streptophyta; Magnoliopsida; Apiales; Apiaceae
Description: long non-coding RNA (DCAR_LNC002058)
Source: RNAcentral